RNAcentral lists this non-coding RNA (80 nucleotides) under Streptosporangium subroseum. RNAcentral describes it as "ZTP sequence". It matches the Rfam family "ZMP/ZTP riboswitch aptamer (pfl RNA motif)". Rfam says of the family: Previously known as pfl RNA. ZMP is also known as AICAR. The record is from Rfam by way of RNAcentral. Lineage: Bacteria; Bacillati; Actinomycetota; Actinomycetes; Streptosporangiales; Streptosporangiaceae.
CGUCUAAACCGUGACUGGCGCGUUGGGUGGAAGGACCACCGGGGAGCGAGUGGCGGAGGCCGUGCGCCUGGGUCUUCGCC